CUUGGGUUCCUUUGUUACUAGCUCUUCCAUAUCAUCUUCAUCUCCAUCAUCUGCAAUCAUUUUGUAUUUUGCAUGGAGGUCAGAUUUGCAGUUGGCACUACUAUGCCAAAUAACCAUUUUGUCCAAAUAAAUAUUUCUACACCGCAUACUUAAUUAAACAAGUCAGAAUGGAAUUUCAAGGCCCAUAAUUCAGAAAAUGUAAAGUUUCUUUACAUUAUCUAGUGAACACAGAAAAAUGAGAAGUAUCUUCGCAAAUCAGAGCACUCUAUAACAUGCAAAAUUAAAAUCAGUAGAAACAAGGGAAAUGUUUACCAUCUUCAUCACCAAAGCCUUCAAAAUCUUCCAUAUCAUCCAUGUCACCCAUCUCGAAGAUGAGCAAUCAGGCAAUAUCACUACUCACAACACAAUUUUGCACCAGAAUAAAAUACUCUCGUGGACUGAAGAAAAAGUACAACUCAUAUCUAAAUGUCAAAGUUUGCAUUUUGUUUGAGAUUGUUAAUUUUACCAAGGAACUCUAGCAAGGUGAAUAGAACCGGCCAAUCAUACAUCAGCAGCGCUUUACCAAUUUAUUCACUAAUGAACACCUCAAAAACUGAGAGCAGUUCUUAUCCCAUUGUGGCAAUUGUGUUUGUUUGCUAAUGUUUGCAAUGUAGGUGUGCCAGAAGUUGCCGCUCUUACUUUGAAUCACCAUUCGUGUGAUUUGAUUUUACUUGGUGAAAUGAAGCACACGGACUGUAGCUGAUUCGCCGAACGCCACU
This 758-nucleotide long non-coding RNA is filed under the name Hordeum vulgare. RNAcentral describes it as "long non-coding RNA (HVUL_LNC016209)". The record is from RNAcentral. Lineage: Eukaryota; Viridiplantae; Streptophyta; Magnoliopsida; Poales; Poaceae.